CUACGGGUGGCUGCAGUGAGGAAUAUUGCACAAUGGAGGAAACUCUGAUGCAGCAACGCCGCGUGGAGGAUGACGCAUUUCGGUGUGUAAACUCCUUUUAUAUGUCAAGAAAAUGACGGUAGCAUAUGAAUAAGCACCGGCUAACUCCGUGCCAGCAGCCGCGGUAAUACGGAGGGUGCAAGCGUUACUCGGAAUCACUGGGCGUAAAGGACGCGUAGGCGGGAUAUCAAGUCAGGUGUGAAAUCCUACAGCUUAACUGUAGAACUGCACUUGAAACUGGUAACCUAGAGUAUGGAGAGGGAGAUGGAAUUAGUGGUGUAGGGGUAAAAUCCGUAGAUAUCACUAGGAAUACCUAAAGCGAAGGCGAUCUCCUGGAACAUAACUGACGCUAAGGCGUGAAAGCGUGGGGAGCAAACAGGAUUAGAUACCCGGGUAGUC
This 438-nucleotide ribosomal RNA is filed under the name uncultured bacterium. Its description in RNAcentral is "partial 16S ribosomal RNA". It matches the Rfam family "Bacterial small subunit ribosomal RNA", at positions 339 to 795 of the family's 1533-position model. The record is from RNAcentral.